CCUGAUUGAUUGAAGUGAAAGUGUUGGAAGAAUACUGCUUUUUUUUCUCUAUGUUUUCAGAGAUAAUAAAAUGAUCUUUGGAAGGAUGGAAACAGUUCAUUAAAAAGAAUACUCAGAAGAGAAAGAUUCUAAAAGGAAAGAAGGAAAUCCUAAACUAUGUCAGAAUAGAAGGUAGAAGAAUGUAGCAAAAAGAAGGAAAGAAAAAAAACACCAAAUGCCUGGAGCUAUGGGCAGUGAAAUGUACUCUGAACACAGUGAGCAUGCUUCAUCUGUCAAAUUUAGUUACACUUUAUUGCAUCUCUCAUUAGCUGAGAUCAUGGGGAAAAACAUUUCUCAUGCUGUUGGACUGCCAACUCAUAUUUGGACAACAGUUAAGCUCUUAAGCAAUGAAGCAUCUGCCUAAGAUUCUAUUGCCUCAAACUCCAAAACAACCCAAGGAAGUGUUUGGCCAGGAAAUGGCCUUAGAUCUGCCUGCACUAUUGAAGAAGGGCAACCAGCAAGUACUCUUCUCUUCCAGGAGGAAAGGGCUGCAGGGAUUGGGCCCAUCUACUCUCCUCUGGCAGCUAUCAUCUUUUCUUCUCCUGAGUUCUUCUCCCUUUACCCACUACUGAUUAGAAGCAGCUUCACAGAUUCUCCUCUACACUUUUGUCCCUAAGCAAGUUCCCUGCUAAUGUCAGGGAAACAGAGUAAAAUAAUAAAAUGACAAGAAAG
Molecule: long non-coding RNA, 711 nt
Filed under: Monodelphis domestica (gray short-tailed opossum)
Lineage: Eukaryota; Metazoa; Chordata; Mammalia; Didelphimorphia; Didelphidae
Description: lncRNA (ENSMODG00000032843.2)
Source: RNAcentral